RNAcentral lists this transfer RNA (59 nucleotides) under Rhodospirillaceae bacterium. RNAcentral's name for it is "tRNA-Pro". It matches the Rfam family "tRNA", at positions 8 to 63 of the family's 71-position model. From Rfam's summary of the family: Transfer RNA (tRNA) molecules are approximately 80 nucleotides in length. Their secondary structure includes four short double-helical elements and three loops (D, anti-codon, and T loops). Lineage: Bacteria; Pseudomonadati; Pseudomonadota; Alphaproteobacteria; Rhodospirillales; Rhodospirillaceae. The record is from RNAcentral.
UAGCGUAGCCUGGUAGCGCGCUCGCCUGGGGGGCGAGAGGUCGUGGGUUCGAAUCCCGC